GACCAGCCACACUGGAACUGAGACACGGUCCACACUCCUACGGGAGGCAGCCAGUGGGGAAUAUUGCACAAUGGGCGCAAGCCUGAUGCACCCAUGCCGCGUGUGUGAAAAAAGCCUUCUGGUUGUAAAGCACUUUCACCGAGGAGGAAGAGGUACAGUGUUAAUAGCACAUUGCAUUGACGUUACUCGCAGAAAAAACACCGGCUAACUCCGUGCCAGCAGCCGCGGUAAUACAGAGGGUGCAAGCGUUAAUCUGAAUUACUGGGCGUAAAGCGCACGCACGCGGUUUGUUAAGUCACAUGUGAAAUCCCCGCGCUUAACGUGGGAACUGCAUUUGAAACUGGCAAGCUAUAGUCUUGUAGAGGGGGGUAGAAUUCCACGUGUAGCGGUGAAAUGCGUAUAGAUCUGGAGGAAUACCCGUGGCGAAAGCGGCCCCCUGGACAAAGACUGACACUCACGUGCGAAAGCGUGUGGAGCAAACACGAUUAUAUACCCUGGUAUUCCACGCUGUAUACAAUGUCUACUUGUAGGUUGUGCCCUUGAGGCGUGGCUUCCGGAGCUAACACGUUUAGUCUACACCCUGGGGAGUACCGCCCCACGGUUAAAACUCUCAUGUAUUGACGGGGGCCCGCACAAACGGUGGAGCAUGUGGUUUAAUUCUAUGCACCGCGAAGAACCUUACCUACUCUUGACAUCCCCAGAAUUCGCUCGAGAUAGCUUAUUGCCUUCGGGAACUCUGAGACAGGUGCUGCAUGGCUGUCGUCAGCUCGUGUUGUGAAAUGUUGGGUUAAGUCCCGCAACGAGCGCAACCCUUAUCCUUUGUUGCCAGCACGUAAUGGUGGGAACUCAAAGGAGACUGCCGGUGAUAAACCGGAGG
This 877-nucleotide ribosomal RNA is filed under the name uncultured Yersinia sp. RNAcentral's name for it is "bacterial SSU rRNA". It matches the Rfam family "Bacterial small subunit ribosomal RNA", at positions 302 to 1169 of the family's 1533-position model. Lineage: Bacteria; Pseudomonadati; Pseudomonadota; Gammaproteobacteria; Enterobacterales; Yersiniaceae. The record is from RNAcentral.